AGCUCCAAUAGCGUAUAUUAAAGUUGUUGCAGUUAAAAGCUCGUAGUUGGAGUUCAGAGUUAGCUCAGCCGGUCGGCCUAAUGGGUCAGAACUGGUUGACUCUCUCUUGUUUGUGGAUCCCUUCGGAGUUAACUCUUCGGAUGUGGAGUCCACAUCGUUUACCUUGAAAAAAUUAGAGUGUUCAAAGCAGGCGUUUGCUUGAAUAUAUUAGCAUGGAAUAAUGGAAUAGGACGCUGGUUCUAUUUUGUGUUUGUAG
RNAcentral lists this ribosomal RNA (256 nucleotides) under uncultured eukaryote. RNAcentral's name for it is "partial small subunit ribosomal RNA". It matches the Rfam family "Eukaryotic small subunit ribosomal RNA", at positions 587 to 852 of the family's 1831-position model. The record is from RNAcentral.